RNAcentral lists this ribosomal RNA (427 nucleotides) under uncultured bacterium. Its description in RNAcentral is "partial 16S ribosomal RNA". It matches the Rfam family "Bacterial small subunit ribosomal RNA", at positions 355 to 774 of the family's 1533-position model. The record is from RNAcentral.
UGGGGAAUAUUGCACAAUGGGCGCAAGCCUGAUGCAGCCAUGCCGCGUGUAUGAAGAAGGCCUUCGGGUUGUAAAGUACUUACAGCGGGGAGGAAGGUGUUGAGGCUAAUAACCUCAGCAAUUGACGUUACCCGCAGAAGAAGCACCGGCUAACUCCGUGCCAGCAGCCGCGGUAAUACGGAGGGUGCAAGCGUUAAUCGGAAUUACUGGGCGUAAAGCGCACGCAGGCGGUCUGUCAAGUCGGAUGUGAAAUCCCCGGGCUCAACCUGGGAACUGCAUUCGAAACUGGCAGGCUAGAGUCUUGUAGAGGGGGGUAGAAUUCCAGGUGUAGCGGUGAAAUGCGUAGAGAUCUGGAGGAAUACCGGUGGCGAAGGCGGCCCCCUGGACAAAGACUGACGCUCAGGUGCGAAAGCGUGGGGAGCAAACA